RNAcentral lists this small nucleolar RNA (101 nucleotides) under Penicillium decumbens. RNAcentral describes it as "A. fumigatus snoRNA Afu_264". It matches the Rfam family "A. fumigatus snoRNA Afu_264". The record is from Rfam by way of RNAcentral. Lineage: Eukaryota; Fungi; Ascomycota; Eurotiomycetes; Eurotiales; Aspergillaceae.
UUUUAUGAUGAAACAACACUUUUUACUAUUAUUUCUGGUACCUCUUAUGUCAGAAGCGUGUCUUCGGAUCCGUCUUCGAUGAUCUAAAUGGACUUCUGAUC